Molecule: ribosomal RNA, 251 nt
Filed under: uncultured prokaryote
Description: partial 16S rRNA
Rfam family: Bacterial small subunit ribosomal RNA
Source: RNAcentral
ACGUAGGGGGCGAGCGUUAUUCGGAAUUACUGGGUGUAAAGGGUAUGUAGGCGGCCCUUCAAGUCGCGUGUCAAAGUCCAGUGCUCAACGCUGGGAGUGCACGCGAGACUGACGGGCUUGAGUACUGGAGAGGUGAGCGGAAUUCCCGGUGUAGCGGUAAAAUACGUAGAGAUCGGGAGGAACACCAGCGGCGCAGGCAGCCCACUAGACAUUUUCUGACGCUAAGACACGAAAGCGUGGGGAGCAAACAG